This 6638-nucleotide small RNA is filed under the name Rattus norvegicus (Norway rat). Its description in RNAcentral is "uncharacterized LOC102546371". The record is from RNAcentral. Lineage: Eukaryota; Metazoa; Chordata; Mammalia; Rodentia; Muridae.
GGAGAGCCAAAAGAGGAAAGUUAGAGAGUGUAGAAAGAUGGCUCCUGGGGAAAAGCACUGCUGGGCUUUGGCAGGAUUUGGAGCUGUGGGGAUUCUCACCUUGAACUCAGAAGACUUUGAUAAAGUCCCCAGAGAACUGAUGAAUCUGUAAGGUUAGAUUGCCCGUUGCUGGUUAUAGGGCACAUGGAGGAAUAGGCUUAGUGUGAUAAGACUUGCUUUAAAGGAUUACCAGUGAAAGGUGAUGAUGUCAGAUUUUGAGGGUGCGGGACUCAAAAAUUGGUCUUUCUCUUGUACUAUGCUGUGUCCCUUGCCAAGUGUCCUUAAUGCCACCAGGGAUACAACUGUCAUGCUCUUGGCCUUAACCCAAUAAAGUGUGGUACUACUUUAUCCAUAUUCAACUGAGCAAUUUCUUCCACAGCACGGUCCUUCCUCCUCCUCCUCUUUGAACCUGACAGGCUUAUUCCUGAGUCUUAAACACCGAUGGCUGACAGCGCUGGCGUCCAGCUUCUGAAUGGGAAGUAUGUGGGGAUGACCAUGCUAUUCUGAGUGGGGGGAAGGGGAUGGUGAGCAAAUAGGUCAAGGCCGGCUUUCUCAUUCUGAGCCUGUUUUUCCAGCUUGUCCUAUGCAGUGCAUUCCCUGGAACAUCUUUAAGGAAUGAGUUAUGUAUUGAUAUUCGUUCCUGUAAAGUCAUCCACAGCGGAUAUGGUUUACUUGAGAGGAUUAGCACACUGGUGCUGUGCGUUUUCCAAGUGAAUUUAAUGACCACAGCUAAGACCCGUGCAUCUACGCAUGAAGACGCAAUGGAACCUUAACUAAGACACACGGUCUGGGGUCUUGCACUAAAUUUCAUCGUGAAAGCUAGUCAAACAUCAGUGAUCGCCACUCAUUGCUUUGUGACUGGAGACAAUCUAGAGCUGUAUCCGUUUCCAGAUGCCACGACUUCUCUGUCAUGAUGGACUGCACCCUUAAACUGUGAGCAAAAAAAUAAAUCUUCCCUUCCUUAAGUUGCUCUUGUCAUAGCACUGAGAAAAUAUAAACAUAACAGGUUGAAAGAGAAUGAAACAGAGCAAAAAAUAUCAGUUAAAAUGGUACACUGCUUACAAUAGAGUUUGUGCAUGAAAACUUUAUUUAAAUGUAUGUAUGCAUUGAUUAUGUGCACAUAUUUAGUGAUAGUUUAACACAUAUUUCUUAUCAUAACUGGCAAGAGUAAAUCUGUUUAAAAUAUCUAGGUAAAAUGUGAGCUCCACAAAGGUACAGUUCUAUAUGUCCACAAUGAUAUCUCCUGUAGCCGAAACAGAUCCUGCUACAUGGCAAAUAAAUAUUUCUGAAUAAACAAAUGGCUUUGUGAUUUAAUUGGUUCCCCAACCUACUAAAAAUAAAGCUGUCUUAUACAUUUCAUUGCAACUAGUGAAAGUAUGUGUGAUAAAAUGAUAUAAGGCAGGUGUGGAAUCAUUCAACAGGUUUACCCUCCUCCACCAGCAUUGCCCCUUCUACUCCCUUUUGUCAUUCUUCCUUCUUUAUUCUCAAAGACUGAGUCAAUUUGGGGACAAAUUUAUAAUCCCCUGGAUCUCAUAAAGAUUUGCCACUGGGAUUCUUCAAGACCAAAAUAGGUCCAUUCAAGAUUUAAAAAAAAAAAAAAGCACUAAUGUCUUUCCCUAGACAGGCCUCAUCUAGCCUAAGCCAGCCUUGAAUUCACUAUGUAGCUAGGAUAACUUUCAAUUCCAGAUUCUUUCGCCUUCUCCUCCCAAGGACCAAGAUUACGUGAUGUACCAGCACUUCUGGACCACAUCUGUAUCCUCAAGGCUGCUCAGGAAGCAGCUACUUUGUGAGUGCCAGGAAUCCCAUUUGAUUGGAGUGUACCAGGUCAGAGUGCGGACCAGUGGUCUUUCUCAAGGUUGUGAGAUUUAAAAAAAAAUCCUGAUUUAUGAUUUAUAAGGGCUGAUGGGAGGUUCUACAGGAAUGGUUAGAUGCAGCAGGACCUAGGUUUAGGAAUCUAAAUUUUCUCUUCGGGCUUUUCUUAGUCAUUCCUUUGCCUGAACAACUCCUGCCCUUUUUGAUUUCUUUCUUUUGAAGGAAUCACCAGGCCAUCUUAGAUUCUAAGCCCAACCUCAUAGUUUCAUGCAUUUUUAAUUGAUAUAUUUGUGAAGGGAAAAUUUAAAUCUCUUUUGGGCUUGUAAGGAGACUGGGAAACAGUACUUCCUUUGUCUAACAACAACAGCAGCAGCAGCAGCAGCAGCAGCAGCAGCAGCAGCAGCAGCAGCAGCAACAACAACAACAGCAACAACUCCAGCUAAGUGCUUCAGAAAGGGACCUAAUCGGGCCUCAGCUGGAUCCCCCUGGCUUGUGAUCUGAAGAUUCAGUGACAGUUGCUGUGUGACAGUUUAUCCAGAGGGGGAGGAGGACUGUUGAGAACAAACAUAAUAAAGUCAAGAGAGGCGAAAGGAAACUGGAUGCUAAUGCUUUAUUGCACAUGGUGUUGUCUUUCUUGAAGAUAAAAGAGGUAAAAUUCAGUAUUGUUUCAGCUUUCUUGUGAAUUACUAUGCAGUUUCAGACAGCAUAAAGCAAAGUCCUUCAUACAGAGCAUUGCCACACAUUUCUAGCCCAGUUAAAAUAAUCAAGUAAGCCCGUGGCUUGACAGGAAGAAGGGAAAGACAGUAUAUUAAAGAAAUUUUAAAGUAUUUCUGAGAAAUAUAGGGGACACAUUUACAUUCUUUUCAUCAAAAAAACCCCCACUGUGUUUAUGUGUAGUCACGUGUGUGUUUGUGUGUCCACAUGCACGUAUGUAUACUUAUUUUCCAUCCCACUUUGAAAAAGUAUCUAUUGGGCACAGUUUCUCACCUCUUGUUCCAAAGCUUAGAGAACUGGAAAAUUUAAGAUUUGUAUAACUUCUUGUAUCAGACAGGGAUGACCAAGAUGGAAAUAACUUAAAUAAUAUCUUAGUUAUGAGCAGCCAAAGAUGAGCUUGAACUGAAGGAAGGUUGACACGGGACUUUAUCCUCUGUGAUAUGUGAGUUAUGGAUAUGGUCAGCAGCCACAACUGGACUCAGUGAACAGUUGCUGGGUGUGUCACGGGCUGUCAGGGAUGGAGAUCUCUGAAGCAUCAUCGGUGCACAGCACAUACACGGCUUUUCUGAGUUACCGUUACAGAGCAUAGAAGAGGCACCAAGCAAGUGUAGACUUGAUGUGCCAAGAUUGGCUUACAAAUUACAUUUCAGGCAAAAAGGAUAACUUUCUGACAGGUAAGUCAGUGGGGACUUUCUUAAAUAUCCCUGUCACUUCUUCAGGAUCAAGCUUCGUGUAUAAUGCCUUCCCUGUCACACUGUAAGAAAUGAGGACACUUCCGGGUAGAUGACUUUGUUAGUGCCCUAGCAUGCCUAAUCCGUACGACGUCACAACUUGUUUGAGCUAGUUUUGCAAAGACAGAAUGAGAAGACACUGUUGAGGCUUGGCCUUUUUGCUAUGUGUUGUGAUGCUCGAUACUGGCCUCCAAGGCCUGGUUGCCCCAGGGAUGAGAGAAUCUGCAUGCACACAAAGUAAUGCUACAUGACUUUGCUUCUUAAUUUAAAACUACUGGUUGGAUAAAGAUGUCUACAGUCUAACGCUGAGCAGAAGAGAGGAAGAUGGAGUCUCAAUUCCCUGGCUGGGUGUCUGAGGAGGACCACGAGGAGAGAGAGAAGAAGGUGGAGAGAGGAGAAGACACCAUGGAGUAGGUGAGACAUGAACGUCUGGCCAUGAGAGCGGCCAAUAGGAGUUAAGAGCAGCCCAGAGGGAACACGGUAAGUAGUAACUUGGGGUUAUUGAUAAGGAAGUAGACAUAAUAACAUAAAGGGUAGAUAUCUGCCCAGCUCUACUGCUCAAAGGCUUAUUAUAAAUAUAAAGGUUGUAUGUCUUUUAUCUGAGAACUGAAGAUCAAAGGUGAGGUAGAAACCCUCAAUUAAGAUUAAAUAUUCACUACAGUAAAACCCAAAUGGACUUAUAUAUCAAAAAAUAAAUACAAAAAGACACAAGCAAAGAAGCAGGUGUCUUGGUCCCUCCCUUGAGAGCUGGGCACGGGCCAAAUAGGACCACAUGCCAUGUCCCCUACAGUCGCACAAGUGCCCUUCUCCGUGUAGACAGACUGAAUUCUGGGAACUUGAGCUGUGACAGGGGAGAUAAAAUGUUAGUGUCUAUCCUCUGUGGCAUUUGGGGGUUUAUAUUUCAAACGGUUCAGAUAUGUAUCACCACAUAGCGGAAGCAUAGUUCCCAGGAUGUCCGUGACUUAAAUUAGAAGAGGAAAGUCCCUGAACUUUUUUCAAAUUGCAGUUUUGGAAAUGAGCCCCGAGCUCUUGCUUCAAGCCCAGGGCUGGUCGGCAGUGGCCACAUUUUAUUUUGAUUACUGUUGACAGUCAUCAGCCUGGCUACCCUAAGCUGUAUAUCAGCAAGGACAGUUUCACCUCUAACGUCUCCCUUCCUCUAAAUAAAGCAAAUGCUUCCCCUUUCCUUCUGCCAUUAGAUGUCUGCCGUGUUGCUGCCUAACGUUUGAUCUGCAUUGUUCUUAUUUUCUUCCUGUGAUAAAGGUUGUACACUAUACACAUGAGAUCUGGAGGUGCCUGGACCUCUCUGAGUCGAGCUCACUCUUUUGAAGAGCGUUACAACUUUUAUAUCUGGGUUCUCUAUGAGCACGAUAUUGCUAAAUAAAGCCAUGUAAUGGUCACAGUUUAGAACUUACCCUAAACCUUUCUCUUUUUUUCACAUUUAGUAACUGAUGGGUUAAAUGAAUGAAAAACUGAAGGGUGGCUUCUAGAAUCCUGGGGAUAGAAGUGGACUUAGUCUGUGAUUGACAGGCUUGCUCCGUUCUGAGUAGCUCACCGCUUGGGUGAUCCUCAAGACAAUCCUCAAGACAAUCAGACACAUCUCUGAAGUGUCUGCUUUUGAAGUCUGAACAAGACAGAGGUAUCUCCUCUUUGUGGGCAGCCAAUAGACGUCAACUUUAUGAACAGGGCUCAGUAACUGCGACAGCCGCUCCAGCUGAGGAAAAGGACACUUGAUUCUGCUUAGGCUCAGAGGAGCUGUGGUCCUACAGAAUGAGUGCACGCAGGGCAGGGUGAUGGUCGCUUGUGAAGGAUGGGAACAACACAUGCACCGUGUGCACUCUUCUAAAUGGUAACGCCCAGAUUAGUUUUCUCAAGAUAUACUGUCUUCCAUCCCUGCAAAAAUAGCUCCUAGUUUGCUCAGAGCAGUGUGGACAGGUCCUCUUUUCAUCGAGUCUCUGGGAAAUGUGCUACAGGAUACCAGCCAGCCAGGGUAGGGUGACAGACUCCCUGAUGGAAGGCCUAUGAGCUCAUUCCCGACUCGAAUAGAGCAUUACAGGAACGGUCUUGCCAACAAACUUCGUCUGGUGUUAAAAUCUGGACAACAGGGCCCAACCUCACAAAGAUUUUCUUUGACUGGAUUAUUCACAGUGGAAAAGAAGAGACAAAUGUUCUCUUCAACUGACUUUUGUUGUGAACUAGAAAUAUCCAGGAAUUAAGCAAAGCUACUCUCUGCCUUUUGAACUGGACACGGGGUGGGUGUGUGCAUCUGAGGGGACAGUGGUAGAGAAUGCUGAGUUUGAUUAUCACAGGAAGCCAGUGACAUUGAAAGGCAGUGUAAAGGUCAUUUAAACAGGUGACCAUAUCCAAACAGUUCAUUCUAUAAACCCACUGAACAGUCAUAGAUCCAGAGAAGAGUCAUUUAGACAAAACAACAAACAAACACAUUACUAAGUUCAAACCCCUCUCUUCCAGGAUGCGGAUGCUUGGUUUCCAUCCAGCUGGCCGACUGACUGGGAUGUGGCCUGGAGGAACAGGAGCUGUUUGAGGACAGGGGAUGAGGGAAAAGAUCUCUGAAGGCUUGUUUGCCGCUCCUUUGGUGACACGUGUUGGUUGUUAACAGACCACUAGGCUAUGAAUUUGGACUCUUCCAGCUAAAUAAAUAUGCGUUACAUUUACAUACCCAUCUAGUCCAGUGGGAACCGAUUAGUAACGUCAUGUCUGCAUCAGACAGGAAUUCACUUUCUCGCCAGGUUUCAGUGAUGCGGUGAUAUCCUGAGAGACAUCCCGCUGAAAUCAGAACAGCACCUUGGUUCCCACCAAACAAAUAAAUCCCACAUGCAUCUGGGAGUUGGUGAUGGUUUUUUCCUAUCCAAGAAUGAUGAGAUUUCUGAGUCCCUAAAUGCUUGAAAAUACAGACAUGCUAGACAUUCACUUGACAAGCUUUGCAUGUAUCUUGCAGAGAGAUUUUCAAUGUAGAAGAGGGAGCAGGCUACGUGUGGUGGCGCACGCCUGUAAUCUCAGCACAAAGGCGGGAAAUGUUUGCUGAAAGUUUGAAGAAAUCCUGAUCUACGAAGGCAGUUCCAGACCAGCCAAGGAUACACUGAGCUUGUGUCAGACAAACACGUAGGACUGGGGAGGUGUCUCAGGGAUUAAAAGCACCUACUGCUCUUGCAGAGGACCAAAGUUCAAUUCUCAGCACCCACAUAGGGUAGCUUUCAACCUCCUAUAACUCUACAUCUAAGUCACCUAAUGGUCUCCUCAGGAUUCCAUGAUGCCUGGACACACAGACAUAUACACACACACAGAAAAGACACACAUACACAGAUACACACAAAGACACACAGA